RNAcentral lists this ribosomal RNA (497 nucleotides) under uncultured bacterium. Its description in RNAcentral is "partial 16S ribosomal RNA". It matches the Rfam family "Bacterial small subunit ribosomal RNA", at positions 28 to 507 of the family's 1533-position model. The record is from RNAcentral.
GAUGAACGCUGGCGGCGUGCCUAAUACAUGCAAGUCGAGCGAACGGACGAGAAGCUUGCUUCUCUGAUGUUAGCGGCGGACGGGUGAGUAACACGUGGAUAACCUACCUAUAAGACUGGGAUAACUUCGGGAAACCGUAGCUAAUACCGGAUAAUAUUUUGAACCGCAUGGUUCAAAAGUGAAAGACGGUCUUGCUGUCACUUAUAAAUGGAUCCGCGCUGCAUUAGCUAGUUGGUAAGGUAACGGCUUACCAAGGCAACGAUGCAUAGCCGACCUGAGAGGGUGAUCGGCCACACUGGAACUGAGACACGGUCCAGACUCCUACGGGAGGCAGCAGUAGGGAAUCUUCCGCAAUGGGCGAAAGCCUGACGGAGCAACGCCGCGUGAGUGAUGAAGGUCUUCGGAUCGUAAAACUCUGUUAUUAGGGAAGAACAUAUGUGUAAGUAACUGUGCACAUCUUGACGGUACCUAAUCAGAAAGCCACGGCUAACUACGUG